GACGAACGCUGGCGGCGUGCUUAACACAUGCAAGUCGAACGAAGAGCGAUGGAAGCUUGCUUCUAUCAAUCUUAGUGGCGAACGGGUGAGUAACGCGUAAUCAACCUGCCCUUCAGAGGGGGACAACAGUUGGAAACGGCUGCUAAUACCGCAUACGAUCUAACCUCGGCAUCGAGGAAAGAUGAAAGGUGGCCUCUAUGUAUAAGCUAUCACUGAAGGAGGGGAUUGCGUCUGAUUAGCUAGUUGGAGGGGUAACGGCCCACCAAGGCGAUGAUCAGUAGCCGGUCUGAGAGGAUGAACGGCCACAUUGGGACUGAGACACGGCCCAGACUCCUACGGGAGGCAGCAGUGGGGAAUCUUCCGCAAUGGACGAAAGUCUGACGGAGCAACGCCGCGUGAGUGAUGACGGCCUUCGGGUUGUAAAGCUCUGUUAAUCGGGACGAAAGGCCUUCUUGCGAAUAGUGAGAAGGAUUGACGGUACCGGAAUAGAAAGCCACGGCUAACUACGUG
Molecule: ribosomal RNA, 510 nt
Filed under: uncultured bacterium
Lineage: Bacteria
Description: partial 16S ribosomal RNA
Rfam family: Bacterial small subunit ribosomal RNA
Source: RNAcentral